Long non-coding RNA from Mesocricetus auratus (golden hamster), 442 nucleotides. RefSeq lists it as uncharacterized. The transcript is spliced from 4 exons. Lineage: Eukaryota; Metazoa; Chordata; Mammalia; Rodentia; Cricetidae. The record is from RefSeq and is a predicted model, not a curated record.
GUGACAUGGUGUAAGGAGAGGGCCGGACAGCAAGGCGGGUCUGAGUUUGAGUCUCAGCCCUACGACAUUGUCAAGGAGUUUCUGGUGGAGUAUUUCAGAUUGCUUAUAUGUGGAAUCAUAAUCUGCAAGUGCAGAAUGGUUAGAGUGUCAUGAGGCCGUGUAUGUACCAGAGGAGACAAAAGAAUGGCAAGGAUGCAUCCAAUAAGGCCUUGGAGACAUGCCCACAGGUGAUCGAGGAGAAGAAUGCCAGAGGCCAGCAUGGCUUGUCUCACAUGUUCGUGUGACUCAGUACAAAAGCGUUUAUCAGCUAAAGACAUCUAACCUUGCUUGGUGUGACAUUAUCUCUUCAGCAAAGUCCUGAUAACAGUAGUUUGCCAUGGCCCACAUAGUUAUCCAGAAAAGCAGUUUAUUAUGUUAGAUACAGUUUAAAUUAGUAAAUAUC